This 60-nucleotide microRNA precursor is filed under the name Microcaecilia unicolor. RNAcentral's name for it is "Mun-Mir-9-P4_pre stem-loop". It matches the Rfam family "mir-9/mir-79 microRNA precursor family", at positions 2 to 62 of the family's 78-position model. From Rfam's summary of the family: The mature ~21nt miRNAs are processed from hairpin precursor sequences represented here. miR-9 is processed from the 5' arm of its precursor, and miR-79 from the 3' arm. The record is from RNAcentral. Lineage: Eukaryota; Metazoa; Chordata; Amphibia; Gymnophiona; Siphonopidae.
UCUUUGGUUAUCUAGCUGUAUGAGUGUAUCUGAUGUCAUAAAGCUAGAAAACCGAAUGUA